UACGUAGGGGGCAAGCGUUGUCCGGAAUCAUUGGGCGUAAAGAGCGUGUAGGCGGCUCGGUAAGUCCGCUGUGAAAGUCCAGGGCUCAACCCUGGAAUGCCGGUGGAAACUGUCGAGCUAGAGUCCGGAAGAGGCGAGUGGAAUUCCUGGUGUAGCGGUGAAAUGCGUAGAUAUCGGGAGGAACACCAGUGGCGAAGGCGAUCACCUGGGGUUGUUCUGAUGCUGAGGAGCGAAAGCUAGGGGAGCAAACGGG
This 253-nucleotide ribosomal RNA is filed under the name uncultured bacterium. Its description in RNAcentral is "partial 16S ribosomal RNA". It matches the Rfam family "Bacterial small subunit ribosomal RNA", at positions 524 to 776 of the family's 1533-position model. The record is from RNAcentral.